RNAcentral lists this long non-coding RNA (920 nucleotides) under Rattus norvegicus (Norway rat). RNAcentral describes it as "long non-coding RNA NONRATT000438". The record is from RNAcentral. Lineage: Eukaryota; Metazoa; Chordata; Mammalia; Rodentia; Muridae.
UUGGGGUCAAGUCCCCAGCUCCCUGCUCACCUGCAGGCCAAGGGCUGGGAAGGAAGACCCCAGGUCGGCCAGGGGGUUGGGGGCUGGAGGGACUCCUACUGUUUAUUGAGUAACAGGCUGCAGGUGAGGAGCUGACAGAAGGGGGGGCAAUAACUUAAAAACUUGAGGCGACAGCGGUAGCUCCCCGAGAGACCUCUGCAGAGGGACAGGAGUAUAUACACGGAUUUGUACAAAGUGCCCCGCGCCAGCCUGGGGCAUGAAGGAGGUUCGAGCAUAAGGAGGAGGGAGGGGAAGGUUUCUGCCUGUGACCCCCAACUCCCUGAACCCCCCGAGUUCUGUCUCCAGUCAUUAUGCCUGGAAGUUCUCCCCAAAUGGGAGAAUUUCCUCAGUUUCCCUUCUCACUCCUGUCCCCAAAGUCUCCUCAAGUGCCCUGCAGCAGAGCAAGAUGGGGGGGUCCCCACUAGAGGCCCUAGGAGGGUGCCAGCUCCCCCCUGCUGAGCCCUCUUAUCGUGUCAUGUGUCCCCACACUGUCCACCAAUCUAAUCCAGGGAAGCUUCAGUCAUGAUACGGGGAACCCCCUCCUCUGUCCUGUUCCCCUUUUGGGGAAGUGAAAGGAACCAGAGAAAAGAAGGGACCCGGGGUGUGAUGGUGGCUGUGGUGGUGAUGGUGGUGGUGGUGGUGGUGGUGGUGGCGGUGGCGGUGGCUCAGAGUUCGAGGUCGUUGGAAAUGCGGGUGACAAGGGUUCGGAAGGCCAGGGCGGUGCCCGCCACGCGGCGGAAGAGGACGCCCCUGAGGCCGGGCCGGGGCAGCUGGCACACCUCUACUUCGAAAUGGGACAGGGGCUCGGGCCCGCCCGCACCCCCGUGCAGGCAGGCCAGCAGGAACGGCUGCGGCUGGCGGCACCGGCAGCGGGCGGCCGC